Molecule: long non-coding RNA, 231 nt
Filed under: Setaria italica (foxtail millet)
Lineage: Eukaryota; Viridiplantae; Streptophyta; Magnoliopsida; Poales; Poaceae
Description: long non-coding RNA (SITA_LNC002798)
Source: RNAcentral
GAGCAUUGUGGUUUUGCUUUUGCAGCUCAGAUCUGUUUUUUGCCUCUACGUGCGUGGAUCUUGGACUCGAUCGUUCUGCCUCGGCGUCGGCGAUCGACUUCCGUUUGUGCAAGUCUUGCGCUUGGCGUUUUCGGCUCCGGCAGAUUUGGAAGUAUGCAGCACUAGUCUAUGCGAACUCAAACUAUGCCUUUGCUUUUUAUGUGUAGGGUUUGUCUUGUAUUUGUGUUUCCC